AUAAAUGUGUAGUUCUGAAUAAACAGACUCAUAACCUUGACUCAGUAGAUUGUAAGGCGGAUACCGGAUGUCCCUCACAGACGUAUCUUUUCUCCGAAGUGUGGCGAUAUAAAAUUUGUUUUGAAAAUUUUUAUGGAAUAACAAAAACUCUGGCAGAUAAAACUACCCCAGCAAUCAUCAUUGUUGACGCAAGAACCACGUCAUCCCAGACAGAGGCAAAAGUGCAAGGAAAUACAACAUUGAUUUUUUUUGAACCAGACGCGGAACCAGGGGAUUCCGGAUUGAUAAUUGGUGUUGUUUUGGCGAUUCCUCUAAUCCUCAUUUGCUCGCUGGUUGUUGUGUUCAUCUUGGAUAAACGAUUCAAAUGGGGACUUAUGAAGAGAUUAAGGUCGCGUGU
Molecule: long non-coding RNA, 397 nt
Organism: Magallana angulata
Lineage: Eukaryota; Metazoa; Mollusca; Bivalvia; Ostreida; Ostreidae
Exons: 5
Source: RefSeq, a predicted model, not a curated record